This 194-nucleotide ribosomal RNA is filed under the name uncultured denitrifying bacterium. RNAcentral describes it as "partial 16S ribosomal RNA". It matches the Rfam family "Bacterial small subunit ribosomal RNA", at positions 298 to 524 of the family's 1533-position model. The record is from RNAcentral.
GGCGGGGCGGGGGCACGGGGGGACUCCUACGGGAGGCAGCAGUGGGGAAUAUUGGACAAUGGGCGAAAGCCUGAUCCAGCCAUGCCGCGUGAGUGAUGAAGGCCCUAGGGUUGUAAAGCUCUUUCACCGGGGAAGAUAAUGACGGUACCCGGAGAAGAAGCCCCGGCUAACUUCGUGCCAGCAGCCGCGGUAAU